UGGGGAAUAUUGCACAAUGGGCGCAAGCCUGAUGGCAGCGACGCCGCGUGCGGGAUGGAGGCCUCGGUUGUAAACCGCUUUGUUCAAGGGCAAGGCACGGUCUUUGGCCGUGUUGAGUGGAUUGUUCGAAUAAGCACCGGCUAACUACGUGCC
RNAcentral lists this ribosomal RNA (153 nucleotides) under uncultured bacterium. RNAcentral's name for it is "partial 16S ribosomal RNA". It matches the Rfam family "Bacterial small subunit ribosomal RNA", at positions 355 to 509 of the family's 1533-position model. The record is from RNAcentral.